CCUACGGGUGGCAGCAGUGGUGAAUAUUGGGCAAUGGAGGCAACUCUGACCCAGCAACGCCGCGUGAAUGAUGAAGGUCUUCGGAUUGUAAAGUUUUGUGAUGGGGGAUGAACACAAUGACGGUACCCCAAUAGCAAGCCACGGCUAACUACGUGCAAGCAGCCGCGGCAAUACGAAGGUUGCAAGCGUUAUACGGCAUGAAUGGGCGUAAAGGGUGCGUAGGUGGUUUAGUAAGUUGGCGGUGAAAUUCCGGGGCUCAACCUCGGCGCUACAGCCAAAACGAUUAGACUAGAGUGCAGUAGGGGUGAGUGGAAUUCCUGGUGUAGCGGUGAAAUGCGUAGAUAUUAGGAAGAACAUCAAGGGCGAAGGCGAUUUACUGGACUGUAACUGACACUGAGGCACGAAAGCGUGGGGAGCAAACAGGAUUAGAUACCCGGGUAGUC
Molecule: ribosomal RNA, 443 nt
Filed under: uncultured bacterium
Lineage: Bacteria
Description: partial 16S ribosomal RNA
Rfam family: Bacterial small subunit ribosomal RNA
Source: RNAcentral